GGAGGGUGCGAGCGUUAAUCGGAAUUACUGGGCGUAAAGUGCGCGUAGGCGGUUUGUUAAGUCAGCUGUGAAAGCCCCGGGCUCAACCUGGGAACUGCAGUUGAUACUGGCCGACUAGAGUACGAGAGAGGGAGGUAGAUUUCCAUGUGUAGCGGUGAAAUGCGUAGAUAUAUGGAGGAAUACCAGUGGCGAAGGCGGUCUCCUGGCUCGAUACUGACGCUGAGGUGCGAAAGCGUGGGGAUCAAACAGGAUUAGAUACCCUGGUAGUCCACGCCGUAAACGAUGUCUACUAGCCGUUGGGAGACUUGAUUUCUUAGUGGCGCAGCUAACGCAAUAAGUAGACCGCCUGGGGAGUACGGCCGCAAGGUUA
This 370-nucleotide ribosomal RNA is filed under the name uncultured bacterium. Its description in RNAcentral is "bacterial SSU rRNA". It matches the Rfam family "Bacterial small subunit ribosomal RNA", at positions 527 to 896 of the family's 1533-position model. The record is from RNAcentral.